Molecule: unclassified non-coding RNA, 200 nt
Organism: Chrysemys picta bellii (western painted turtle)
Lineage: Eukaryota; Metazoa; Chordata; Testudines; Emydidae
Source: Ensembl
AUGACAUAGCCCUGGAAACUGACCUCCUUUAUUUAGCCACAAAACAGGUACAGCAUGGACAAUGGCAGUGCAAGCCUCCCUGUCCCCCAGGUUACCCUGCCAGUGUGCCUCAACAACUUGACGGAACAAACUCUCCUUAUAGGAGAGUGAGACACAGUACAGAAUUUCAGGCUUCAUGCCUAUUCAGGGCCUGUUCCUAA